CAGGUCCCUUGAUACCCAAUGACACGCCCCUGAUACCCAAUGAAACCCACGAAACCCACACCCCUUAUACCUUGAAAAACUCACGCCCCUUAUACCCAAAGAAACCCACGCCCGUUCUCAUCCUCAUCUCGUCGGAGGCGUCGCCCAACCGCGAGCAUCUCAGUCGGCAUCGCCCAACCCCGUUUUGUUCCCUCUCCGACCAUGACGAUGACCACAAAGAAUCUCCGCCCAUGAAGCAUCUCCGGCUACGAAGAGGAAGGAAGAGAUUAGGAGUUUGGUCCUUUUGGCCUCCGAAGAGGUGGCUAGGCUGAGCUCGAGGUGAAUACGGAAUCAAGUUACAGCGUCGUUUCCAUGGUUACUCUGAAUCAAUGUGUCGUUGUUUAUUUCCCCACCACUACUCGCUGUGAUCAAUGCAAAGUGGUUUGUCACUGUGUUCUUCAAGGAAGCGUAAGUGAGUUUUGCUUCCACAAUUGCAAACCAGCUCCAGUCAUAAUUGUUCCAGGCAAAGGUGCCUAAGUGGGAUUCAAUAGUGGGUGUUUUGAAAGCAUCUGCUAGUGUACAUACAGGUGUUGUUUGAUCCAGAACUUUGGUCAGUGCUUGGACUUGCUGGCUACGAACUAUUUUAACUAUAAAAAGGUGUACUACAAGAAUGUAUAGGGACUUCUAGCUUCUGAGUUGGAGAUAGGGGCUUCACAUUUUUUUUUAUGUUUGUUUGUUUGCUUAAUUUAGUGUUAGUUUUUUUUUUUUGUUCAUUUAGUUUGGUUUGUAUUGGGGUAACUUUUUUCAGUUUUCCAUGUUAGCAACUCUGAUCCAUGGAGUUUGUUGUUGUAGUUCAUAGACAAUACAAUUCAAGCAAGGAUUAUGUAAUUGAAUUUUUUAUGAUUUCUAUUGUAAUUUUUAUGUAUUGAAUAAAUGUGUUCACUAUUAUUUAAA
Long non-coding RNA from Cannabis sativa, 933 nucleotides. RefSeq lists it as uncharacterized. The transcript is spliced from 4 exons. The record is from RefSeq and is a predicted model, not a curated record. Lineage: Eukaryota; Viridiplantae; Streptophyta; Magnoliopsida; Rosales; Cannabaceae.